GAUGAACGCUAGCGGCAGGCUUAACACAUGCAAGUCGAGGGGCAGCGUGAGGGUUAGCAAUAACCCUUGACGGCGACCGGCGCAAGGGUGCGUAACGCGUGAGCAACUUGCCCUUAUCAGGGGGAUAACCGGUGGAAACGCCGACUAAUACCCCAUGGCAUUGAGUUGAGGCAUCUCUACUCAAUUAAGAAUUUCAGAUAAGGAUAGGCUCGCGUGACAUUAGCUAGACGGCGGGGUAACGGCCCACCAUGGCGACGAUGUCUAGGGGUUCUGAGAGGAAGGUCCCCCANACUGGAACUGAGACACGGUCCAGACUCCUACGGGAGGCAGCAGUGAGGAAUAUUGGUCAAUGGACGCAAGUCUGAACCAGCCAUGCCGCGUGCAGGAUGACGGCUCAUGAGUUGUAAACUGCUUUUGAUGAGGGUAAAAUUGGGUAACGUGUACCUAACUGCAAGUAUCAUACGAAUAAGGAUCGG
This 476-nucleotide ribosomal RNA is filed under the name uncultured bacterium. RNAcentral's name for it is "bacterial SSU rRNA". It matches the Rfam family "Bacterial small subunit ribosomal RNA", at positions 28 to 496 of the family's 1533-position model. The record is from RNAcentral.